RNAcentral lists this ribosomal RNA (497 nucleotides) under uncultured Glomeromycotina. RNAcentral's name for it is "partial small subunit ribosomal RNA". It matches the Rfam family "Eukaryotic small subunit ribosomal RNA", at positions 591 to 1092 of the family's 1831-position model. The record is from RNAcentral. Lineage: Eukaryota; Fungi; Glomeromycota.
CCAAUAGCGUAUAUUAAAGUUGUUGCAGUUAAAAAACUCGUAGUUGAACUUCAGGCCUGGCUGGGCGGUCCGCCUUCCGGGUGAGUACUGCCUGUGGUCGGGUCCUACCUUCUGGCGAAGCGUCAUGGUCUUAACCGGCCGUGGCGGGGAACCAGGACUUUUACUGUGAAAAAAUUAGAGUGUUCAAAGCAGGCACGCGCUUGAAUACAUUAGCAUGGAAUAAUGGAAUAGGACAGUGGUUCUAUUUGUUGGUUUCUAGGACCGUUGUAAUGAUUAAUAGGGAUAGUUGGGGGCAUUAGUAUUCAAUUGUCAGAGGUGAAAUUCUUGGAUUUAUUGAAGACUAACUACUGCGAAAGCAUUUGCCAAGGAUGUUUUCAUUAAUCAAGAACGAAAGUUAGGGGAUCGAAGACGAUCAGAUACCGUCGUAGUCUUAACCAUAAACUAUGCCGACUAGGAAUCGGGCGAUGUUGACAAAAUGACGCGCUCGGCACCUCAUG